AACCCGUUAAGGAUCGAUAAUCGCCUUUUGGAAUACGCAGCGGCAACUGGCUAGGGUUCCGUCCAUUCCAUGCAGCGGCAACUGGCUAGGGUUCCGUCCAUUCCACGGUUCUCUCCCGAUUCUUACUUCCUCGCUUCUCAUCAAGGCUAAUUGAGUGGUGGAUGCCCAUGAUAUGGACUAUAAUAAAAACUGCCGAUGAUGAUUGAGGAAUGAAGGAAUAUCUCUCGGAAGUUGUGUGAGGUAUUUUAUAUGCUUUUGUUCUUGUUUUUUUUGUUUUUUUAAGUAUCCCUAAUAAGAGAGCAUGAAGCUCUUAUUUCAAUGCAAGUGCAUGUUAAGAUGACCGGUCCACAACACUGUUUAGUAUGUUUACCGUAGCUAGUUAGUUCCUUAUUACAGGCGAAGCAGUAACGUAUUUUAAAAAGCUUAAGAGAUACUGAAAUUGGAUUUGGCAUCAUGGUGGGUCUGUUUUGAUAAUUGUAUCAAUAUCUCUAAAGAAGGGCUCUGGCCCUCCUCCUAACCUUUUAGGAAAGGCUGCGGACGCACACCAAGUGUUUGUAUCUUUGCGAUUAAACGUCGGUUAAUGAAUCGUUUUCCCAUCCAGCUCGGAACUAGUAACAAAACUAUUCUAUCCACUCAGCUUUUAUGGUAAGGGGGGGAUGCUCAAAAGCCUUAACUUUUUUUUUUUUUUUUUUCCUGCAUAAAACUAAUGUGGGUGUUUGUGUGAGGGUGGGGUGUGUUGGGGUCGCUUUAUUCCUUAUUCUUUGAGUCUCAGAGGAAAGAGGCCGUACACAGUUCCCGAUUCUUUCAGACCAGACCAGACCAGACCAGACCAGACCCACCUUUCAAAGAGAUCCUAAAAGAAGCCCAUCAAAUUUUUUUAGUGGGGCCCAGCAAAAGAUGAGAGGUCACAGGCCCACAUCAGAUCAACAAAGAAGCAUCAUCAUCAUAAGAUCAGAAAUCAUCGUUGUCGGUACGCCUCCCUUUUUUCUAAUCUCAAAGCAAAAUAAAGGAGUACGUUUGCAAUGGCAUGCAAAGGUUAGGGGGCAAAGGUUAGAGGGGGUGGGGGGUGUGCUUCUUUGAUUAGCUUUGUAUUAGCGCUUCAUUAUGCAAGGGAUGUGCCGGGUUGUACUGCGAAUAUUUGUUGUCAUUUUAAUCAUAGGUAAUAUGUGGUGGUCUAGUUGAGGAAUUAAUGAUUGCAAAAUAUUAUUAUUUUUUUAAUGAUAUUUUUUGGAUGCUGUGCUCCACUUUAACCUGGGUU
Long non-coding RNA from Ananas comosus (pineapple), 1258 nucleotides. RefSeq lists it as uncharacterized. NCBI's taxonomy places the organism in Eukaryota, Viridiplantae, Streptophyta, Magnoliopsida, Poales, Bromeliaceae. The record is from RefSeq and is a predicted model, not a curated record. The transcript has 2 exons.